Molecule: non-coding RNA, 205 nt
Filed under: Turicibacter sp.
Lineage: Bacteria; Bacillati; Bacillota; Erysipelotrichia; Erysipelotrichales; Turicibacteraceae
Description: T-box sequence
Rfam family: T-box leader
About the family: Uncharged tRNA acts as the effector for transcription antitermination of genes in the T-box leader family. T-boxes are found upstream of many aminoacyl-tRNA synthetase genes and some amino acid biosynthetic genes usually in Gram-positive bacteria.
Source: RNAcentral
AAAAAAACGUUGAUUAAGGCGUAGUAAUGAGGAACUUGCUAUUAAGGGAGAGGGUGUCUAAGACUGGAAGCACUCUUAUAGUUAAACUCAUGAAUUCACCUUGUGAGUGAUGCUAAUCACAUCCGGUUGCGGCCGUUAUCCGUUUUAAGAGGUUAAGAAUUUAUCUUAGCAAUAAAGGUGGUACCGCGUGUGAAACGUCCUUUUU